RNAcentral lists this small RNA (138 nucleotides) under Leclercia adecarboxylata ATCC 23216 = NBRC 102595. RNAcentral describes it as "RtT sRNA". It matches the Rfam family "RtT RNA". From Rfam's summary of the family: This family represents a bacterial cis-regulatory element known as RtT RNA. The exact function of RtT is unknown although it is thought that it may be involved in changing the cellular response in relation to amino acid starvation. The record is from RNAcentral. RNAcentral also lists the same sequence under 2 other names. Lineage: Bacteria; Pseudomonadati; Pseudomonadota; Gammaproteobacteria; Enterobacterales; Enterobacteriaceae.
AUAUGCCCCCGAAAGAGAGGGGUGAGAAUCCUCGACCAGGGUUCGACAACUGGCUGUAGCCAGUUGGACAGACUGAGAGCGCAGCGAACAGGCUGCCCGUAGGGCGAGCGAAGCGAGUCAGCCCCUCUCUCACCGCCA